AGUGAACGCUGGCGGUAGGCCUAACACAUGCAAGUCGAACGGCAGCACAGUAAGAGCUUGCUCUUACGGGUGGCGAGUGGCGGACGGGUGAGGAAUACAUCGGAAUCUACUUUUUCGUGGGGGAUAACGUAGGGAAACUUACGCUAAUACCGCAUACGACCUACGGGUGAAAGCAGGGGAUCUUCGGACCUUGCGCGAUUGAAUGAGCCGAUGUCGGAUUAGCUAGUAGGCGGGGUAAAGGCCCACCAAGGCGACGAUCCGUAGCUGGUCUGAGAGGAUGAUGAGCCACACUGGAACUGAGACACGGUCCAGACUCCUACGGGAGGCAGCAGUGGGGAAUAUUGGACAAUGGGCGCAAGCCUGAUCCAGCCAUACCGCGUGGGUGAAGAAGGCCUUCGGGUUGUAAAGCCCUUUUGUUGGGAAAGAAAAGCAGCAGGUUAAUACCCCGCUGUUCUGACGGUACCCAAAGAAUAAGCACCGGCUAACUUCGUG
RNAcentral lists this ribosomal RNA (492 nucleotides) under uncultured bacterium. RNAcentral's name for it is "partial 16S ribosomal RNA". It matches the Rfam family "Bacterial small subunit ribosomal RNA", at positions 29 to 507 of the family's 1533-position model. The record is from RNAcentral.